AAACUAACAAGGAUUCCCCUAGUAGCGGCGAGCGAAGCGGGAAGAGCUCAAAUUUAUAAUCUGGCACCUUCGGUGUCCGAGUUGUAAUCUCUAGAAAUGUUUUCCGCGUUGGACCGCACACAAGUCUGUUGGAAUACAGCGGCAUAGUGGUGAGACCCCCGUAUAUGGUGCGGACGCCCAGCGCUUUGUGAUACAUUUUCGAAGAGUCGAGUUGUUUGGGAAUGCAGCUCAAAUUGGGUGGUAAAUUCCAUCUAAAGCUAAAUAUUGGCGAGAGACCGAUAGCGAACAAGUACCGUGAGGGAAAGAUGAAAAGCACUUUGGAAAGAGAGUUAACAGUACGUGAAAUUGUUGGAAGGGAAACGCUUGAAGUCAGACUUGCUUGCCGAGCAAUCGGUUUGCAGGCCAGCAUCAGUUUUCCGGGAUGGAUAAUGGUAGAGAGAAGGUAGCAGUUUCGGCUGUGUUAUAGCUCUCUGCUGGAUACAUCUUGGGGGACUGAGGAACGCAGUGUGCCUUUGGCGGGGGUUUCGACCUCUUCACACUUAGGAUGCUGGUGGAAUGGCUUUAAACGAC
Molecule: ribosomal RNA, 570 nt
Filed under: Rhodotorula mucilaginosa
Lineage: Eukaryota; Fungi; Basidiomycota; Microbotryomycetes; Sporidiobolales; Sporidiobolaceae
Also listed under: 2 other names
Description: eukaryotic LSU rRNA
Rfam family: Eukaryotic large subunit ribosomal RNA
Source: RNAcentral